UCCCUGGUGGCUCAGACGGUAAAGCGUCUGCCUACAAUGCAGGAGACCCAGGUUAAUCCCUGGGUUGGGAA
This 71-nucleotide transfer RNA is filed under the name Bos taurus (domestic cattle). It matches the Rfam family "tRNA". From Rfam's summary of the family: Transfer RNA (tRNA) molecules are approximately 80 nucleotides in length. RNAcentral also lists the same sequence under 1 other name. Lineage: Eukaryota; Metazoa; Chordata; Mammalia; Artiodactyla; Bovidae. The record is from Rfam by way of RNAcentral.